CCAAGCAUGGUUGAUCAUGUGCAGCUUGUCCCCCUCCGCUCCAGUCAACGUCGAAGCAUUCAUUGGAUUGUGUCUCCAACCUGGAGGUCUUGGGUUGUGUGGAAUCCACCAGGAUUGAGCCUCUGAUAACCAGAGCCCAGAUGAGAUGGAUGGAAAACAUCAUCAGAAUGGAUGACUGCCAUAUGACUUGCCAGUUGCUCUGUAGUGUGCCGGAGUCUGAGAAAUGACCUUGAAGUCAUCCACACAAAUGCUACAAAGACACUGAAAGAAACCUUAUACCAUUGUGGCAUUCAGCCAAGGGCAUUAGAAGCUGCAACUGCUGACAGAACCUGCUGGUGAGCUCUGUGCUGUGAAGCCACCACUGGCUUUGAAGACAAGCACCAUCAAAACCUGAUAGAAAAUGAUGAGCACAUCAUAGACAGUUGCUACAGCAAUGGACUUCCAGUGCCCCUAUUGUGCUACAUCCUGUGCUUCCACUGGGGAAUUGCAGAGCAAGCUCUCUGCCAACAGAUGAACUGCACAACACCAUGUUUUCUUUGAAUCCAAAGGAUAUGAAUAUAUCACUUCUCAUAUUUAAAGAUUCCCCCAUUUCAUAGAGAGAUUUACACCAAACUGAUUCAUUGUUAUCCUACUCUCUACUAAGUAUGUAUUAAAAAAAACCUGUCAGCACAGGAAUAUAAAUACUUAUUUCCUGAAAAUA
Pantherophis guttatus is the source of this 700-nucleotide long non-coding RNA. RefSeq lists it as uncharacterized. The record is from RefSeq and is a predicted model, not a curated record. NCBI's taxonomy places the organism in Eukaryota, Metazoa, Chordata, Lepidosauria, Squamata, Colubridae.